UUCCUCCCUUAUAUCUUUCCUAAAUAUUGAGAAUGCACAGAGAACUUUACAAAAACGUGUCAAGUGUCCUGUAACAAGUGUUAGCUAAUGCAGUGUUGGGCCCAGUCACACAUACAUGCUCACAUGUUCCAGUUUACUCACCACGGUACCGAUUGAACGAAGAAAAAAGAGAAAAAACAACGUUGCAGGCCUGUUUUGGUCUCGCAAAACAUUGAGUGCGCUGAACUGACACUUACAAAACAUUGAGAGCGUCGAAAAGACUGGUCCGGAUACGCAGGUGCGGUGCGAUGAACCAACAGCUCUGCCUCGUGUGCGCCCGCCGUGGGCUAGCUAGCUCGGCUACCUCCGAUCGCGGCGUCCGCUCCGUCAGACGGGUCGCCGGCCUCGUUUCUCAGUCACAAACGGUCCCCUUCUCUGAACCUCCCUCUCAGUUUCGUCGACUUUAGUGGCUCUUUUUAGCGUCUUUUUCCUUCUCUCUAAACGUGCGAGCGUCCCGUGCUCCCCACGGGUCCAGCAAGAGAGAGCGAGCCAAAAAAAAACGAGCGAGGGAAAAACUGCUUCCAGCACUUUUCAUCCGUGUCGCUCUAUCCCGUCACGUGUACCCCGUUUUAACGUGCAUGCAGCCAAACACUACUGACAAUACAGCGUGAAUACUCAAAUGACCAAUAAAAAAGCGGUCACAUAAACACAGGAAGGAUAAAGUAAUAAAAGGAUAGCUGCAUAAAACCUCUGAUAAUAUUAUUUAACAAAAUAAUAUAAACUUUAACCUUUAGUUUUAAUCACUGUCAUGAAAUAAAAUAACAAAUUAUUGAUCUCCCUUUAAUCAUGUAAAAUAAAUUAGUAUUUACUUAUUUGAAAAUCAGUUGUCACUUAUUUACUUAAAGUAAAUAAACGUUUACAUUUUAAUAGUCAUGUCACUGGGUUUUGAGAAUAAGAGGGAUCAAUCAUAACCCACCCAGUUUACCUUACACUAUAAUACCCGAAUUUACCACUGGGCUACAUGACAUUGAGAUAUUUUCCAUUGGAUGUGAUCCCUCUCCUAAGUUGUUUACCUGCCCCUUUCUCUUUGUCUCUGUCUCCAUCUUCCCAUUUCUCUCUCCAGAUUGUUCCAGUGGGAGAAUAGUGGACUUGAGCUAGCUUCGGACAUCCACCAGAGAAACUAUACAUCACAUCAGAGUACACACAAUUGUUUCAACAUUGAAUGAUAUCAGCAUCUAGACCUCCAAGACCCCCCAGCCUCCCCACUGACCUGCUGCCUGUGAUCUGUGACCUGUAUCUGUACUGGGUUGUCAAAGUAAGCCUGACACAGAUCACCAAUCAAGCAACAAAGCUGGAAAAAGCCUAAGACCCCGAAGGUUUCAAACACACACACACACACACACACACACAGUUUUCGACUCAGGACUUUAACCCCAAGACAAUAGUGGAUGUUCAAAUGCUUUAUCAAAAAGCAUGUACUAUAUUUUUGUCUUUAAAGAAUUAAAGAUUAUAUACUUAUAAUCUUGUUCACUAGCUAUGAUUGCACUAAGCAAAAUGGGUCUCACACUGGUCUUUACCUGUGGCCUUUAAAUCACUAAAACCGCCCCUGCAUACAUGCUUGAAUGAAUACCAUUCAGAGAGCCUAUCACUGAUCUGCAGCUACUCAGGAAUAUAUAUGAAGCUGAUUUGUGUAUGUUUGAAGUCCUUGAGCUUUAGGAUUGCAGUCUCCUGCAAUACUUUGCUCCUAUUUAUAAGUGGUGGAACACAUACCUAGAUCUUUU
Long non-coding RNA from Siniperca chuatsi (mandarin fish), 1760 nucleotides. RefSeq lists it as uncharacterized. NCBI's taxonomy places the organism in Eukaryota, Metazoa, Chordata, Actinopteri, Centrarchiformes, Sinipercidae. The record is from RefSeq and is a predicted model, not a curated record. The transcript is spliced from 3 exons.